RNAcentral lists this non-coding RNA (23 nucleotides) under Rattus norvegicus (Norway rat). The record is from RNAcentral. Lineage: Eukaryota; Metazoa; Chordata; Mammalia; Rodentia; Muridae.
GGCAUGCUUGUUGUACAGGUCCC